This 402-nucleotide unclassified non-coding RNA is filed under the name soil metagenome. RNAcentral's name for it is "partial contains 5.8S ribosomal RNA, internal transcribed spacer 2, and large subunit ribosomal RNA". The stretch from base 1 to 121 matches the Rfam family "5.8S ribosomal RNA", at positions 35 to 154 of the family's 154-position model. The record is from RNAcentral.
GAUGAAGAACGUAGCGAAAUGCGAUAAGUAAUGUGAAUUGCAGAAUUCAGUGAAUCAUCGAAUCUUUGAACGCACCUUGCGCCCUUUGGCUAUUCCGAAGGGCAUGCCUGUUUGAGUAUCAUGAACACCUCAACUCUCAUGGUUCGCCAUGAUGAGCUUGGACUCUGGGGGUCUUGCUGGCCUAUGGUCAGCUCCUCUCAAAUAAAUCAGCUCGCCAGUGUUUGGUGGCAUCACAGGUGUGAUAACUAUCUACGCUUGUGGUUUUCCAUCAGGUAACCUUCAGUGAUGGAGGUUCGCUGGAGCUCAUAAAUGUCCCUCCUCAGCGAGGACAGCUUUUUGAACGUUUGAUCUCAAAUCAGGUAGGACUACCCGCUGAACUUAAGCAUAUCAAUAAGCGGAGGA